AUUGAACGCUGGCGGCAGGCCUAACACAUGCAAGUCGAACGAGUGGCGGACGGGUGAGUAAUGUCUGGGAAACUGCCCGAUGGAGGGGGAGAACUACUGGAAACGGUAGCUAAUACCGCAUACCAUCGGAUGUGCCCAGAUGGGAUUAGCUAGUAGGUGGGGUAAUGGCUCACCUAGGCGACGAUCCCUAGCUGGUCUGAGAGGAUGACCAGCCACACUAGAGCUGAGACACUGUCCAGUCUCCUACGGGAGGCAGCAGUGGGGAAUAUUGCACAAUGGGUGCAAGCCUGAUGCAGCCAUGCCGCGUUUUUGAAGAAGGCCUUCGGGUUGUAAAGCACUUUCAGCGGGGAGGCGUUACCCGCAGAAGAAGCACCGGCUAACUCCGUGCCAGCAGCCGCGGUAAUUC
This 406-nucleotide ribosomal RNA is filed under the name uncultured bacterium. RNAcentral describes it as "partial 16S ribosomal RNA". It matches the Rfam family "Bacterial small subunit ribosomal RNA", at positions 30 to 526 of the family's 1533-position model. The record is from RNAcentral.